GGGGAAUCUUGCGCAAUGGGCGGAAGCCUGACGCAGCAACGCCGCGUGAACGAAGAAGGCCUUCGGGUUGUAAAGUUCUGUCAGGGGGGACGAAGAGGUGACGGUACCCCCAGAGGAAGCCCCGGCUAACUACGUGCCAGCAGCCGCGGUAACACGUAGGGGGCGAGCGUUGUCCGGAAUUACUGGGCGUAAAGGGCGUGUAGGCGGCCGAUCAAGUCAGGUGUGAAAAAUCAGGGCUUAACCCUGAUCGUGCACUUGAAACUGGUUGGCUUGAGUGCAGGAGAGGAAAGUGGAAUUCCCAGUGUAGCGGUGAAAUGCGUAGAUAUUGGGAGGAACACCAGUGGCGAAGGCGACUUUCUGGACUGCAACUGACGCUGAGGCGCGAAAGCUAGGGGAGCAAACA
Molecule: ribosomal RNA, 403 nt
Filed under: uncultured Dethiobacter sp.
Lineage: Bacteria; Bacillati; Bacillota; Dethiobacteria; Dethiobacterales; Dethiobacteraceae
Description: bacterial SSU rRNA
Rfam family: Bacterial small subunit ribosomal RNA
Source: RNAcentral